AGAUUGAACGCUGGCGGCAUGCCUAACACAUGCAAGUCGAACGGGAGUAGCAAUACUCUAGUGGCGGACGGGUGAGGAAUACGUAGGAAUUUGCCCUUAAGUGGGGGAUAACCCGGGGAAACCCGGAUUAAUACCGCAUGACCUCGAAAGAGCAAAGUGGGGGAUCGCAAGACCUCACGCUUUUGGAGAAGCCUACGUCGGAUUAGCUAGUUGGUGAGGUAAUGGCUCACCAAGGCGACGAUCCGUAACUGGUCUGAGAGGAUGAUCAGUCACACCGGAACUGAGACACGGUCCGGACUCCUACGGGAGCAGCAGUGGGGAAUAUGGACAAUGGGCGCAAGCCUGAUCCAGCCAAUGCCGCGUGUGUAGAAGGAACGGUCCGUUCGGGUUAGUAAAGCUAACGUUUUAAGGUUAGGGAAAGAAAAACGUCGACUCAACACAGUGACGUUCUGGACCGUACCGAACG
Molecule: ribosomal RNA, 466 nt
Filed under: uncultured soil bacterium
Lineage: Bacteria
Description: bacterial SSU rRNA
Rfam family: Bacterial small subunit ribosomal RNA
Source: RNAcentral